GACGUAGGGUGCGAGCGUUGUCCGGAUUUAUUGGGCGUAAAGAGCUCGUAGGCGGCUCGUCGCGUCGACCGUGAAAACCCGCGGCUUAACUGCGGGCUUGCGGUUGAUACGGGCGGGCUAGAGUUCGGUAGGGGAGACUGGAAUUCCUGGUGUAGCGGUGAAAUGCGCAGAUAUCAGGAGGAAUACCGGCGGCGAAGGCGGCCUUCUGGGCCGUUCCUGACACUGAGACGCGAAAGCGUGGGGAGCAAACAGG
RNAcentral lists this ribosomal RNA (253 nucleotides) under uncultured bacterium. RNAcentral's name for it is "partial 16S ribosomal RNA". It matches the Rfam family "Bacterial small subunit ribosomal RNA", at positions 524 to 776 of the family's 1533-position model. The record is from RNAcentral.